UAAUCAUAUUUGCAUUAUGUAUGCAGGUCUGCACACCCAUUACUCUCGAUGAAAUAUCUCACAAACUCACUUCACUCCUCUUUUUUUACCAACUCAUAUCUGGUCACCCUACUGAAAGUUAUAGUUUCAUGUUACUAUGAACAUUGAUGUAGCAACAUAAGUAUGACUUAAUUGUAACCUAUUUAAUUAAUUGUGUCUAGAUAUCACUGGAUGCAGAAAGUGCCAACCUGAAAGUUUUCUCCUUCAGUUGUGCGGCUGGUAAAGGAUUCUGCAAUCACAUAGUUGCCAUCCUGUACCAGACCGCACAUUAUUCACAGCUGGGUCUGCAGGCUGUUCCACCCCCCUGGCCUGCACAAGUGGCUUGCAAAGAUGGCACAGACCAAGAACACAGGGAAUCCAUCCUGAACCGGUUAGUGAGCUGGUGGUGCAAUGAAGCGUGGUCUACUAGUGGAGCCUGAAGUGCUGGCAAACUAUGCUGAACUGUUGCGAGUUAAUGGAGAAAUUGGAUAUAUAUUAUUAUGGCACAUACAUGAAUGCAUACCUUGAAUUACACUAAUCUUGUCUUUACCAAUCAGUUUAGCCUUCUGUCUUACUGUUAAUGAUCUGUAAUGUUAUUUUUUUAUUGUAAAUGUUUGAUGUUAUUUGAGUUGUUAUUAAUCAGUUGAUGUUACGCAUACCAAAAAAUUAAAUGAUGCACAAUUUUGACCAAAAUUGUUUUAUUUGUUCAUCUAAUUUUUUUUUGUGAAAUCAAAGUCACAUUUUAACAGAAAAAUAUUAAGAAUAUAACAAUUAUAUUUAACUUCAUUUUUAAGAAUAUGUGGGAACACUAAAUUAUUUACAUACUAUUUAGAAUAGAUUAGAUUGUAGAAACGUAUUUGGUCGUCCGACGAACAGUAUCGGCUGAAGACAGUAGGGGGUGGUAGACCAGUGUUUUGCAACUUGGCUUCUAAGUCAUGGAUGUAAUCCAAAGCCUCAUCCAGAGCACCUGUAAAGAUAAAAGAAAUUAA
Cyprinus carpio carpio is the source of this 1007-nucleotide long non-coding RNA. Lineage: Eukaryota; Metazoa; Chordata; Actinopteri; Cypriniformes; Cyprinidae. The record is from Ensembl.